RNAcentral lists this long non-coding RNA (638 nucleotides) under Elaeis guineensis (African oil palm). RNAcentral describes it as "long non-coding RNA (EGUI_LNC074669)". The record is from RNAcentral. Lineage: Eukaryota; Viridiplantae; Streptophyta; Magnoliopsida; Arecales; Arecaceae.
GCUCCUAAUGGCAGCGAAUACCACGGCACCGGCAACGGCCCUAGUGAUGGAUGUUGCCGGCUGCCAUUGGUGAAACCAAAAGAAAAUAGGGGCUAUUUUGUUUAAAUGCAAAUCCGAUGACUGUUGGCUCCAAUCGGGCAUCGGUAAUCAGGAAAAAACCACAAGAAGGAAAAGAGAAAAGGAAAAAGGAGCUUACCUAGCUUCGAUGGCCAAAGAAGGGUUUCUGACGAUCUUCUUCCCAAUGGCAACCUGUGGAAGAGUACAAAAAAUUCCGAACAAUUAUCGGCGAUCUCUCAAGCGAUUUGAGGUGAUGAUCUAGGAGAGGAGAAGGGAUUCUUGCUGACAAAUUUUUCUAGAUUAAUCUGAACACCCGCAGCCCCAAUUUGGAUGAAAUCGGUAGAGAAGAGACUCCUCACCGGAGUCUUCUUCCUCCUCUCCUUCCACGUGCGAUGCGCGUGAUUUGUGAGGUUUUUUGGGCUCUUUUAAAAUUGGGCUGGGCCCAAGGUCUAAUGGGCUAGGUUAUUAUAGUUUGCACAGUAAUUACCAUAUUAAUAUAAAAAUCUUACUAACCUUAACGUGAGGGAUGACUUUGAGAACAGCUUCAGUCCGCUGCAGCAUCUCAAAGCAGUCUCCACCAA